Molecule: long non-coding RNA, 437 nt
Organism: Bombina bombina (fire-bellied toad)
Lineage: Eukaryota; Metazoa; Chordata; Amphibia; Anura; Bombinatoridae
Exons: 2
Source: RefSeq, a predicted model, not a curated record
AACAAUAUUGAACUAUUUAAAGCUCCACUCUACACAACAAAAAUGUGACAUCCACAACCUCCACGGGGAAGUUCUCUUUAAACAAGAAGAAGGAGCCAGCAAUCAUUAAAGAUCUACACAUUGCUAUACAAUGGGUUGUCAAGAAUGAGGCACUGUUCUGUGGGCGCAUAACCAUGCCAAGUUAUGUGUCAAUGAAUGAAGAUGACCGCCAGAAGGCCAUAGAUAACGUGAUGCAAAGAGAAGAACCAGAAGCAAGGGAGUCAUUCCUCUUUGUAUUUCAGCAUAGAGAAGAUAUAGAGUUGUUUUUGCAGGCAUGUCUUGACCAACAGGGCCUCCAAGUUAAUGCCAUGUUCAACAAAUGACUGAUGGACAAGGGGUGGUGGUGUGUUUCUGUUUAAAUUAUUGAUAAUAAUAAAAAAAUAAGAUAAUUAACACCA